UACGUAGGGAGCAAGCGUUGUCCGGAAUCAUUGGGCGUAAAGCGCGCGUAGGCGGCCUCGUAAGUCCGUUGUGAAAGUCAAAGGCUCAACCUUUGAAAGCCGAUGGAUACUGUGAGGCUAGAGUCCGGAAGAGGCGAGUGGAAUUCCCGGUGUAGCGGUGAAAUGCGUAGAUAUCGGGAGGAACAUCAGUGGCGAAGGCGGCUACCUGGCCCAAUACUGACACUCAGGUGCGACAGCGUGGGGAGCAAACAGG
Molecule: ribosomal RNA, 253 nt
Filed under: uncultured bacterium
Lineage: Bacteria
Description: partial 16S ribosomal RNA
Rfam family: Bacterial small subunit ribosomal RNA
Source: RNAcentral